UUUUCUUUUUAUACUCCUUGUGUGAGCCUUUAAGGCAGGUCUAGUGGCAGUGGGGCUGGCUCGGCGGAUCCCUGUCAGUCACUUUGCUCUCGUACUAAGUGUACUUUUGUGCCAUUUAAGCAGCCGAUGGUGUCAUUGGCGUUGAGAGUGCAGCUUCUACAGCUCACACUGAAGGCUUUGGGGACCCAGGAGGGCGCGAGUUGUUUUAAGAUACAUGGCCAUUUGACAUACCCGUGUUAAGUUCAAUCUUGCUACAAAAGAAGGCCAUUUGUACUUCCUGACCCUGAAAGCAAGAACUGUGUCUCUUUAAAUCUACUGAGGAAGAUAUUCCUUCUGGCCCACAGGAUGCCAAAAUGACUCGAUGAUUUAUUUAUGCAGCGCUUGGCAGCCCAUCGUCCAGAUUGUGGCUGAAGCUGAAUUUUAUGAGCCUUCCCCCAGCAAGAAACAGAACGGAAAUGGAGAGGAGAGCCCAGCAUGACUUGCGCCGUGCCAAAGGAAUACGUAAACGUCUACUCUUGAGCCUUCCAGUGGCCACUGGUACCUUUGGACCUUGAGCUGGAGCUGCAGCCUAGAGUUAUUAUUUAGCUUUGCCCUUUGUCUUUGAGAAAUAUCUUGAAAGAGCCAGGUUGGUCCAGACCUGCUGGCAAGCCUGCAGCCCCAUCCACCGAUUACCUAAUACACUUGUGACAUCUGCUUUCCUUGUUGUGAGAAAACACAGGGAGGAAGUGUGUGCAGAAGGGGUGAUGCCUGACCUACACACCCGGCAAUACCAGAAGUUUCACUACCUUCCGUUGGUAAACGCUUCAGGGAAGGCUCUGCAACCCUGAACGUGUUUUAUUGUAGAACCUCACUAGGAAACUCAUCAGUAUUUAUUAAAGAUGAAUUAAAAGAAGGAGGAAAAGGAAAAACGGGAUAGUGAAGAGAAUAGAUGAAUGAAAAAGAAGCAAAGGGAAGAGAGGAGGAAGGGACAAAGAGGGCAAGAAAAGAGAAAAGAGAGAUGAGAGACCAGGACUUCCCACCUAACCUUACCAAACUUUUUCAGUUGAGCUUUUAAUGGGAUACUAUUCCCAAGAGGAAAUUCAAAAAGAAAACCACCUUGAAACAUCCUUGCUUUUAAUUGUACUCUUUCAACUGCCAGGAAAUUAAUUAGGUAAGACAAAAAGAAAA
This 1167-nucleotide long non-coding RNA is filed under the name Mus musculus (house mouse). RNAcentral's name for it is "RIKEN cDNA 2600014E21 gene". The record is from RNAcentral. Lineage: Eukaryota; Metazoa; Chordata; Mammalia; Rodentia; Muridae.